GUAUAAGCAUUUGAAGCAAGAGGGGUCGUGGCCCUUACCGUUCAGAGAGAAACUGCUUGGCUGAAACAGUUUCCGGUAACCCACGACCAGUAGCUUGCGAGCUGUUUGGCUGAACUGAUAGUAAGCCAAACCGGAGUGACAUCCGUUACCGAUUGUUAUUGAGAGGGGUUAAAAGCCCAAUUUAGGUGGUACCGCGAAGCAUUUCGUCCUAUUA
This 214-nucleotide non-coding RNA is filed under the name Secundilactobacillus similis. Its description in RNAcentral is "Lactobacillus similis T-box sequence". It matches the Rfam family "T-box leader". From Rfam's summary of the family: Uncharged tRNA acts as the effector for transcription antitermination of genes in the T-box leader family. T-boxes are found upstream of many aminoacyl-tRNA synthetase genes and some amino acid biosynthetic genes usually in Gram-positive bacteria. The record is from RNAcentral. Lineage: Bacteria; Bacillati; Bacillota; Bacilli; Lactobacillales; Lactobacillaceae.